RNAcentral lists this transfer RNA (69 nucleotides) under Scutogyrus longicornis. Its description in RNAcentral is "tRNA-Ala". It matches the Rfam family "tRNA". From Rfam's summary of the family: Transfer RNA (tRNA) molecules are approximately 80 nucleotides in length. Their secondary structure includes four short double-helical elements and three loops (D, anti-codon, and T loops). Further hydrogen bonds mediate the characteristic L-shaped molecular structure. tRNAs have two regions of fundamental functional importance: the anti-codon, which is responsible for specific mRNA codon recognition, and the 3' end, to which the tRNAs corresponding amino acid is attached (by aminoacyl-tRNA synthetases). tRNAs cope with the degeneracy of the genetic code in two manners: having more than one tRNA (with a specific anti-codon) for a particular amino acid; and 'wobble' base-pairing, i.e. permitting non-standard base-pairing at the 3rd anti-codon position. Lineage: Eukaryota; Metazoa; Platyhelminthes; Monogenea; Dactylogyridea; Ancyrocephalidae. The record is from RNAcentral.
UAACGGGGUAGUUUAAUAAAAAUAAUUCUUUUGCAUAGAUUAGAUGGGGGUUAGUCUCCCCGCUGUUAG